Non-coding RNA from Triticum aestivum (bread wheat), 125 nucleotides. Lineage: Eukaryota; Viridiplantae; Streptophyta; Magnoliopsida; Poales; Poaceae. The record is from Rfam.
CAUCUACUCCCUCCGUUCGGAAUUACUUGUCACAAAAAUGGAUAGAAAUUGAUGUAUCUGUAGCUAAAAUACAUCUAGAUACAUUCAUUUCUUGGACGAGUAAUUCCGAACGGAGGGAGUAGAUG